UGGGGAAUUUUGGACAAUGGGCGAAAGCCUGAUCCAGCCAUGUCGCGUGAGUGAAGAAGGCCUUCGGGUUGUAAAGCUCUUUUAGUCGGAAAGAAAGAGUUGCAAUGAAUAAUUGUGAUUUAUGACGGUACCGACAGAAAAAGCACCGGCUAACUACGUGCCAGCAGCCGCGGUAAUACGUAGGGUGCGAGCGUUAAUCGGAAUUACUGGGCGUAAAGGGUGCGCAGGCGGUCUUGCAAGUCAGAUGUGAAAGCCCCGGGCUUAACCUGGGAAUUGCGUUUGAAACUACAAGGCUAGAGUGCAGCAGAGGGGAGUGGAAUUCCAUGUGUAGCAGUGAAAUGCGUAGAGAUGUGGAAGAACACCGAUGGCGAAGGCAGCUCCCUGGGUUGACACUGACGCUCAUGCACGAAAGCGUGGGGAGCAAACA
This 427-nucleotide ribosomal RNA is filed under the name uncultured beta proteobacterium. RNAcentral's name for it is "bacterial SSU rRNA". It matches the Rfam family "Bacterial small subunit ribosomal RNA", at positions 355 to 774 of the family's 1533-position model. Lineage: Bacteria; Pseudomonadati; Pseudomonadota; Betaproteobacteria. The record is from RNAcentral.